UCCGGUUUGUCACCUGUGCAGGAUCUCCGAAGAGGGGCUCUCGUUUCUGAGAGCUUGCUCGUGCAUGUCAAGCCUAGGUAAGGUUCUUCGCGUUGCGUCGAAUUAAACCACAUGCUCCACCGCUUGUGCGGGCCCCCGUCAAUUCCUUUGAGUUUCAACCUUGCGGUCGUACUCCCCAGGCGGGGUACUUCCUGCGUUAGCGCCGGCACCCAGAGGGUCGCUCCCCCAGGCACCUAGUACCCAUCGUUUACGGCGUGGACUAC
This 263-nucleotide unclassified non-coding RNA is filed under the name uncultured Gemmatimonadaceae bacterium. RNAcentral describes it as "contains 16S-23S intergenic spacer region". The record is from RNAcentral. Lineage: Bacteria; Pseudomonadati; Gemmatimonadota; Gemmatimonadia; Gemmatimonadales; Gemmatimonadaceae.